ACAUGGACCAUAAAGAAGGCUGAGCACUGAAGAAUUAGUGGUUUUGAACUGUGGUGUUGGAGAAGACUCUUGAGAGUCCCCUUGGACUGUAAGGUCAAACCAGUCAAUCCUAAAAGGAAUCAAUCCUGAAUAUUCACUGGAAGGACUGAAGCUGAAGCUCCAAUACUUUGGCCAUCUGAUGUGAAGAGCCAACUCAUUGGAAAAGACCCUGAUGCUGGGAAAGAUUGAAGGCAGGAGGAGAAGGGGACGACAGAGGAUGAGACGGUUGGCAUCACUGACUGGAUGGACCUGAGAUUGAGCAAGCUCUGGAGUUGAUGGACAGGGAGCCUGGCAUGCUGCUGUCCGUGGGGUCGAAAAGAGUUGGACAACAUUGAGUGAGUGAACAACAACAGGUUUUAUGCAGGAAAAUGACAUGACCAGAUCUGAAAUUUUAAAGAAUUUCCUUGGCAGCAGGGAGAACAACAGACUUGAAAGGGGAAGGAAUAGGAACAAAGAGGCCAGCAAAGAGACCACAACAAUGGAUUCAGCAAGGAAUGAUGAAGACUGGCAGGACGGACGAGCACACCCAAGAAUUAUACAUGUUCACUGAUGGGAGUUGUGUAAGAAAUUUCUGGCUUGGAUGGCAGGAAGAAUGAGCUAGAAAGAAGGCAGUGGAAGCAAGAGAAGCUCCCUAAACAGUUUGUGCUGGUAAGAGGCCUUCCGGGUGGUAGUUUCUGAUAAGCACUUGUUAUGUGGGAUCUAGAGUUCUGGGGAGAUAUUCUGGGCAGGAUGGUCAUUUUGAAGAUCUCGCCACAAAAAUGGCAGUUGAAGUCACAGUAUGAGAGAAGUCAUAGAAGUGAAAAGAAGGCAAAGGCACUGUUCUGAGGAGCCCCAGCACUUAGGCAGCAGCAGAACUACAAACGGGAAGUCAAAGAGGUGGAGCAGUUGUUUGUAAGUCAGCAGUGAGAGUGCCGCAGAGUGGUCAGGUAAAUGGGGGCUGAAGAGAAGCCAGUGGACAUGGCAGUUAGGACACCAGUGACCAGAGGAAUGCUUAAAAAAAUCAGUAGCAUGUUUUGCACAUGGGUUAAUUAAUACUAACACAUUUCAUACAACUGGAAGAAGCCAGAAGAGGGAAAUGGAGUUAACACUGAGAAGUGUUCUUUAGAAAGUAAUACUUAUUCGUAGCUCCAUGCCUCCGUCACUGCAGGGGAACGUACCUGCUGCUGCUGCUAAGUCACUUCAGUCAUGUCCGACUCUGUGCGACCCCAUGGACUGCAGCCCACCAGGCUCCUCCAUCCAUGGGAUUUUCCAGGCAAGAGUACUGGAGUGGGGUGCCAUUGCCUUCUCCGAGGGGAGCAUACCUACCAGCCUCCCAAAUCCUGGCCUGCACUUUCCCCUCUGUUAAAUCACUGCUACUUGUAAACAUCUCUGA
Molecule: long non-coding RNA, 1411 nt
Organism: Bos taurus (domestic cattle)
Lineage: Eukaryota; Metazoa; Chordata; Mammalia; Artiodactyla; Bovidae
Source: Ensembl